UUUUAUUGAAAUGUUAGAGAGUCCGGUUCUACUAGAAGAAUACACCUAUUUAGAGAAGAUCUCGGAGCAUGAUCCAAUUUCUGAAGUGCGUUAACACCUCCAUUAGUGCUGCAGAAGAAUUGCAAGCAAAAUCUAUAAGCCCAAAAACUCACAUAGGAUCUUCUAUUUAGACAAGAGGGAUGUUGUACGGGCUCGAGGUCCAGGAUGGAGUGAAUUGGACUUAGGUAAUUUUUUUAAAAAUUUCUUUU
This is a non-coding RNA of Lupinus albus (white lupine), 248 nucleotides long. The record is from the annotation of a GenBank genome assembly. NCBI's taxonomy places the organism in Eukaryota, Viridiplantae, Streptophyta, Magnoliopsida, Fabales, Fabaceae.